UGGGUUCGUCUACAGAGUGGGGGUCCUGGGGGGCUGAGGUGGAUGAACUCCCAAAACCGCUAGAGGCGGAGGUGCCGGAAGAUAUUUCGAAUGAUUUCAAACGAAGACCCUAAAGAUCCCGGAGAAAUUAGGCGGGACAAGAGAUGAGGGGUUGCGGGAGACCAAACUAGAGGAAUGGGACAGAAGAAAAAUGAAGGAGAAAAGGCCCCUAAAUGGCAAGAAGAAAAACAAAGGUUCCGGGACUAACCUAGAUUGCUCUGAAGGAUGCAGAGGGGCGA
Molecule: long non-coding RNA, 278 nt
Filed under: Elaeis guineensis (African oil palm)
Lineage: Eukaryota; Viridiplantae; Streptophyta; Magnoliopsida; Arecales; Arecaceae
Description: long non-coding RNA (EGUI_LNC065264)
Source: RNAcentral